Molecule: long non-coding RNA, 372 nt
Filed under: Androctonus crassicauda
Lineage: Eukaryota; Metazoa; Arthropoda; Arachnida; Scorpiones; Buthidae
Source: RNAcentral
CUGUAUUUAAUGUUUUGAAUUCAUAUAUACAAUAUGUUCUAAUGUACUUAUAUAUAUAUAUAUCAGAUGAUAUAAUUCAGCAUGACAAAAAGAUAGCCUUUUUGUCAUGAAUUAUUUCAACUCUGGUCAUUUUGUUCAUUGCUUACUGUUUGUGGCUUUGUAUGAUGUUGCUUGUUUUUGGGUCUUGAUUUGUCUGUCCUUGUCUUCUAUUGCAUGCUGCGUGACGAGCAGUGUUGGUCUACACGUCCAAUCACAGUGUUCUGUUAUGUCCAAGUAUACGCCAUUGGUAAGCCUAUAUAUGUCAUUUUUCCUAUUUAAUUACAACAGAUAAGGUGAUUAUGACAUUACAUGUUGUUGUGAUGAAUAAAUAUA